AAGGAGUGAAGGAGGCCACCUGGAGGGGA
RNAcentral lists this non-coding RNA (29 nucleotides) under Cricetulus griseus (Chinese hamster). The record is from RNAcentral. Lineage: Eukaryota; Metazoa; Chordata; Mammalia; Rodentia; Cricetidae.